RNAcentral lists this ribosomal RNA (229 nucleotides) under uncultured bacterium. RNAcentral describes it as "partial 16S ribosomal RNA". It matches the Rfam family "Bacterial small subunit ribosomal RNA", at positions 568 to 796 of the family's 1533-position model. The record is from RNAcentral.
UCCGUAGGUGGAUAAUUAAGUCAGAGGUGAAAUCCUGCAGCUCAACUGUAGAAUUGCCUUUGAUACUGGUUAUCUUGAGUCAUUAUGAAGUGGUUAGAAUGUGUAGUGUAGCGGUGAAAUGCAUAGAUAUUAUACAGAAUACCGAUUGCGAAGGCAGAUCACUAAUAAUGUACUGACACUGAGGGACGAAAGCGUGGGGAGCGAACAGGAUUAGAUACCCUGGUAGUCC